UCCCUCCACGGCCGAUUUCCCCUCCGCCACCCCCCCCCCCACCCCCCUUCCGCGCUUCGGCGGAGAAUGCCAAAUGUGAGUGAUGGAGCGCCAUAUAUGGCGGCGGAGAACUGGUCACAAAUCAGGAAGAAUGCACUCAAGAGAAAUGGGCAAAGACAACUCAGGGUGGCAUAGCAAAAGAGUGUGCCCACAGAACAUAGGGGAAGACACUGACAUCCCAUCUCAACACACAGCUUUGCUCCAUUACAACACAGGGUGGCAUGCACUUGCCCCAUUACAACACACAACUUGCUGGAAUAGGAAAUCAAAGAAGAAACCCAUCAUGGAUGCAUAUCUAUGGACAAGAACAACAUUUUGUAUCAGGCUACGGUCUAACAGGAAAUGGGUCUUGAUAUGUGCUGGUCACCAUGUUGGGCCGAAUUAUGACGACAGGAAGGUCUCCCCACUGCUCCGCAAGUAACAUCUCCCCCAUAGCCUUGGUAAAUGUAUAUACGUUUGGC
Brachypodium distachyon (stiff brome) is the source of this 500-nucleotide long non-coding RNA. RefSeq lists it as uncharacterized. Lineage: Eukaryota; Viridiplantae; Streptophyta; Magnoliopsida; Poales; Poaceae. The transcript is spliced from 3 exons. The record is from RefSeq and is a predicted model, not a curated record.